GAUGAACGCUGGCGGCGUGCCUAAUACAUGCCAGUCGAGCGAACAGACGAGGAGCUUGCUCCUCUGACGUUAGCGGCGGACGGGUGAGUAACACGUGGAUAACCUACCUAUAAGACUGGGAUAACUUCGGGAAACCGGAGCUAAUACCGGAUAAUAUAUUGAACCGCAUGGUUCAAUAGUGAAAGACGGUUUUGCUGUCACUUAUAGAUGGAUCCGCGCCGCAUUAGCUAGUUGGUAAGGUAACGGCAUACCAAGGCAACGAUGCGUAGCCGACCUGAGAGGGUGAUCGGCCACACUGGAACUGAGACACGGUCCAGACUCCUACGGGAGGCAGCAGUAGGGAAUCUUCCGCAAUGGGCGAAAGCCUGACGGAGCAACGCCGCGUGAGUGAUGAAGGUCUUCGGAUCGUAAAACUCUGUUAUUAGGGAAGAACAAAUGUGUAAGUAACUAUGCACGUCUUGACGGUACCUAAUCAGAAAGCCACGGCUAACUACGUG
This 497-nucleotide ribosomal RNA is filed under the name uncultured bacterium. RNAcentral describes it as "partial 16S ribosomal RNA". It matches the Rfam family "Bacterial small subunit ribosomal RNA", at positions 28 to 507 of the family's 1533-position model. The record is from RNAcentral.